Molecule: ribosomal RNA, 401 nt
Filed under: uncultured fungus
Lineage: Eukaryota; Fungi
Description: SSU rRNA
Rfam family: Eukaryotic small subunit ribosomal RNA
Source: RNAcentral
GCAAGUCUGGUGCCAGCAGCCGCGGUAAUUCCAGCUCCAAUAGCGUAUAUUAAAGUUGUUGCAGUUAAAAAGCUCGUAGUUGAACCUUGGGCCUGGCUGGCCGGUCCGCCUCACCGCGUGUACUGGUCCGGCCGGGCCUUUCCUUCUGGGGAACCUCAUGCCCUUCACUGGGCGUGCUGGGGAACCAGGACUUUUACUUUGAAAAAAUUAGAGUGUUCAAAGCAGGCCUUUGCUCGAAUACAUUAGCAUGGAAUAAUAGAAUAGGGCGUGUGGUUCUAUUUUGUUGGUUUCUAGGACCGCCGUAAUGAUUAAUAGGGAUAGUCGGGGGCAUCAGUAUUCAAGCGUCAGAGGUGAAAUUCUUGGAUUGCUUGAAGACUAACUACUGCGAAAGCAUUUGCCAA